This 374-nucleotide ribosomal RNA is filed under the name uncultured bacterium. RNAcentral's name for it is "bacterial SSU rRNA". It matches the Rfam family "Bacterial small subunit ribosomal RNA", at positions 338 to 729 of the family's 1533-position model. The record is from RNAcentral.
CCUACGGGAGGCAGCAGUGGGGAAUCUUGCACAAUGGAGGAAACUCUGAUGCAGCGAUGCCGCGUGAGUGAAGAAGGCCCUUGGGUUGUAAAGCUCUUUCNUCGGGGAAGAAAAUGACUGUACCCGAAUAAGAAGGUCCGGCUAACUUCGUGCCANCAGCCGCGGUAAUACGAAGGGACCUAGCGUAGUUCGGAAUUACUGGGCUUAAAGAGUUCGUAGGUGGUUGAAAAAGUUGGUGGUGAAAUCCCANAGCUUANCUCUGGAACUGCCAUCAAAACUUUUCANCUAGAGUAUGAUAGAGGAAAGCANAAUUUCUAGUGUAGAGGUGAAAUUCGUAGAUAUUAUAAAGAAUACCAAUUGCGAAGGCAGCUUUC